Alnus glutinosa is the source of this 869-nucleotide long non-coding RNA. RefSeq lists it as uncharacterized. Lineage: Eukaryota; Viridiplantae; Streptophyta; Magnoliopsida; Fagales; Betulaceae. The record is from RefSeq and is a predicted model, not a curated record. The transcript is spliced from 3 exons.
UUUCACUUUUCUUUCUUUCUCUCCCUCUCUCCUCACAUGCACGCACUUCUCUCCCUCCCACUUCUUCUCUCUCUUCCUUUUCUCCUCCUUUUUCUCUUUUCCCCUUUUCUCUCCCCCUGUUUCACGGCAGCAGCAGCCCUCACCAUUUCUUUUCUCUUCUUCCUCCCUUCUCCCUUGUCACGCACGCACAGCAGCUCGCCUCUUCUCUUUCCCUUCCCUUUCUUCUUCCUCUUCUCUCACUCGCACUCACGCACGCAUAGCAACCCAUGAGAGAGCCCGAAGUGCAGAAAUGCCGAGAGAGAGAACAGAUCGUGAGAGAGAGAUUUUGAAAUGGAAGCUGUCCAGCCAUGGGUAGAAGAAGAAAAGAUGGGGUUUUUGGCCAUGGACGUCUGGUGAGGAUCAUGUUCGGAUUGGAGACUUUAAUUGGUUCUCCAAUGUAGAGUCCAAGUGACUAGAGUCCAAGGAGUGUUCAAGUUGGAGUCUAAUGCAGCCAAGAUGAUGUUUCUUUGGCUGCAGGUACUACGGUAUAGUCGAUGGGUCGGUAGCAGUGUGCUUGGGAUAUUAUGACUGAAGCUCGCCGCGACAGUUGUAAUGGUCGGACCACGGGUUGUCCACUAUUUUAUAGGUUUGGUAUGGCUUGUGACGGUUGUGUCACUUAUUAUUUGUUAAGCCAUUAUUGUUAUAGUGUUAAUAAGACUCAAGCAGAUAGAUGUUAAAUGGCUCUUUGUUGUAAUUAACUUGUGAUAGAUGUAUAAGUUGUAAUUUCCGCUAUUCAGAUUUAUGUUUUCCGCUGCAUAGAUAGAUGUAUGUUAUACUCUGAUUAUCAGGUACAUGUUAUGGGGCAUGUGCCAUAUGUUGGCUGAGCGACA